ACUUGGAGAACUGUGGUAAUUCUAGAGCUAAUACAUGCACCAAAGCUCCGAUCCUCGCGGAGAGGAGCGCAUUUGUUCGCCACAAAACCAAGCCCCCAUCUGGGCGUCCAGUGCUGAACCAGUACAACUCAGCUGAUCGCACGGUCUUGUACCGGCGACGUGUCUUUCAAGUGUCUGCCUUAUCAACUUUCGAUGGUAGUGUACCUGACUACCAUGGUUGUGACGGGUAACGGAGGAUAAGGGUUCGACUCCGGAGAAGGGGCCUGAGAAAUGGCCACUACGUCUAAGGAUGGCAGCAGGCGCGCAAAUUACCCACUCUCAACGCGAGGAGGUAGUGACGAGAAAUAACGAGACCGUUCUCAUACGAGGCCGGUUAUUGGAAUGGGUACAAUUUAAA
Molecule: ribosomal RNA, 397 nt
Filed under: unidentified nematode Sourhope farm
Lineage: Eukaryota; Metazoa; Nematoda
Description: SSU rRNA
Rfam family: Eukaryotic small subunit ribosomal RNA
Source: RNAcentral